GACGAACGCUGGCGGCGUGCCUAAUACAUGCAAGUAGAACGCUGAAGAGAGGAGCUUGCUCUUCUUUGAUGAGUUGCGAACGGGUGAGUAACGCGUAGGUAACCUGCCUUGUAGCGGGGGAUAAUUAUUGGAAACGAUAGCUAAUACCGCAUAACAAUGGUUGACACAUGUCAUUUAUUUGAAAGGGGCAAUUGCUUCACUACAAGAUGGACCCGCGUUGUAUUAGCUAGUUGGUGAGGUAAUGGCUCACCUAGGCGACGAUACAUAGCCGACCUGAGAGGGUGAUCGGCCACAUUGGGACUGAGACACGGCCCAGACUCCUACGGGAGGCAGCAGUAGGGAAUCUUCGGCAAUGGGGGCAAGCCUGACCGAGCAACGCCGCGUGAGUGAAGAAGGGUUUCGGAUCGUAAAGCUCUGUUGUAAGUGAAGAACGGGUGUGAGAGUGGAAAGUUCACACUGUGACGGUAGCUUACCAGAAAGGGACGGCUAACUACGUG
Molecule: ribosomal RNA, 497 nt
Filed under: uncultured bacterium
Lineage: Bacteria
Description: partial 16S ribosomal RNA
Rfam family: Bacterial small subunit ribosomal RNA
Source: RNAcentral